GCCUUCAUAGCUCAGUUGGUAGAGCAGCUCCCUUUUAAGGAGACGGUCCCAGGUUCAAAUCCUGGUGGAGGCACCA
This 76-nucleotide transfer RNA is filed under the name bacterium. RNAcentral describes it as "tRNA-Lys". It matches the Rfam family "tRNA". Rfam says of the family: Transfer RNA (tRNA) molecules are approximately 80 nucleotides in length. Their secondary structure includes four short double-helical elements and three loops (D, anti-codon, and T loops). Further hydrogen bonds mediate the characteristic L-shaped molecular structure. tRNAs have two regions of fundamental functional importance: the anti-codon, which is responsible for specific mRNA codon recognition, and the 3' end, to which the tRNAs corresponding amino acid is attached (by aminoacyl-tRNA synthetases). tRNAs cope with the degeneracy of the genetic code in two manners: having more than one tRNA (with a specific anti-codon) for a particular amino acid; and 'wobble' base-pairing, i.e. permitting non-standard base-pairing at the 3rd anti-codon position. The record is from RNAcentral.